This 31-nucleotide non-coding RNA is filed under the name Mus musculus (house mouse). The record is from RNAcentral. Lineage: Eukaryota; Metazoa; Chordata; Mammalia; Rodentia; Muridae.
UUCAAAGGCAUAACUAGAUAGGCUGAAUCGG